GCGAUGGCGUGGGCGGGUUCGAGUGCGGGGAUGAUGCCCUCGGUCCGGCAGAGCAGCUGGAAGGCGUCGAGCGCCUCGACGUCGGUCGCA
RNAcentral lists this transfer RNA (90 nucleotides) under Sphingomonas aquatilis NBRC 16722. Its description in RNAcentral is "tRNA-Ile". The record is from RNAcentral. Lineage: Bacteria; Pseudomonadati; Pseudomonadota; Alphaproteobacteria; Sphingomonadales; Sphingomonadaceae.